AUUCUGCCCAAGCGGGGAGGGAUGAGAAGCUUCGACCAAGGUUCGACUUGAGCGCCAGCGAGAGAGCGUUGCCGCAGGCAACGACCCGAAGGGCGAAGCGCGCAGCGCUGAGUAAUCCUUCCCCCACCACCA
Molecule: small RNA, 132 nt
Filed under: Escherichia coli
Lineage: Bacteria; Pseudomonadati; Pseudomonadota; Gammaproteobacteria; Enterobacterales; Enterobacteriaceae
Description: RtT sRNA
Rfam family: RtT RNA
About the family: This family represents a bacterial cis-regulatory element known as RtT RNA.
Source: RNAcentral